This 550-nucleotide ribosomal RNA is filed under the name uncultured bacterium. RNAcentral's name for it is "bacterial SSU rRNA". It matches the Rfam family "Bacterial small subunit ribosomal RNA", at positions 355 to 896 of the family's 1533-position model. The record is from RNAcentral.
UAGGGAAUCUUCGGCAAUGGGGGCAACCCUGACCGAGCAACGCCGCGUGAGUGAAGAAGGUUUUCGGAUCGUAAAGCUCUGUUGUAAGUCAAGAACGAGUGUGAGAGUGGAAAGUUCACACUGUGACGGUAGCUUACCAGAAAGGGACGGCUAACUACGUGCCAGCAGCCGCGGUAAUACGUAGGUCCCGAGCGUUGUCCGGAUUUAUUGGGCGUAAAGCGAGCGCAGGCGGUUUGAUAAGUCUGAAGUUAAAGGCUGUGGCUCAACCAUAGUUCGCUUUGGAAACUGUCAAACUUGAGUGCAGAAGGGGAGAGUGGAAUUCCAUGUGUAGCGGUGAAAUGCGUAGAUAUAUGGAGGAACACCGGCGGCGAAAGCGGCUCUCUGGUCUGUAACUGACGCUGAGGCUCGAAAGCGUGGGGAGCGAACAGGAUUAGAUACCCUGGUAGUCCACGCCGUAAACGAUGAGUGCUAGGUGUUGGAUCCUUUCCGGGAUUCAGUGCCGCAGCUAACGCAUUAAGCACUCCGCCUGGGGAGUACGACCGCAAGGUUG